RNAcentral lists this ribosomal RNA (336 nucleotides) under Odontoscapus sp. RNAcentral's name for it is "partial 28S ribosomal RNA". Lineage: Eukaryota; Metazoa; Arthropoda; Insecta; Hymenoptera; Braconidae. The record is from RNAcentral.
CGAAUGGGGAGANUCAUCGUCAGCUCAUUUUAUAUAUAUGCAAGUUAUGAUAUGGGUUACUAUUCUUUAAUAGGUCUAGUAUUGCCUGUACAUUCUUGUAUAUUUUAUUGUAAGAUGUUGUCGGCGUGCACUUCUCCCCUAGUAGGACGUCGCAACCCGUUGAGUUUAUUAUAUAUUGUUGGUCUACGGCCCGAGUGGAAGCUUUUAAUGAUUAUUUUAUUAUAAUUCAUUAAAAACCCUUGGUGUUACCUGACUGGCACUCAUCGGUAUUCAAAUAUGGUAUUGAGCCGCAUAAUACAAACUUUAUGCGUCCAUAUCUGUCACAAGCGAGGUUAA